UUUUUUGUUUUGGUUAUUUACUGAAAGCCAUUGCGCCACACGCAUGCACGCUCAUACAAAAUCAAACAAACAAUAUCCUGCUUCGUGGAUUACUUCAGACGUCCAUCUAUCAAGAUCAUCAAAACUUGGAAUUCAAGAGCAAAGAGCUAAUCACAACCAUAGCCCAGUCAUCCAGCAGCUGAUAACCGUGACAGAGCUCCUCGGUCUGCUUCUCAGAAGCUGAACUGGUCAACAACAACAAUGACUGGGACCAGCAGUGCUCUGCUUCAUGUAAAUUACCUUCAUAGUUGCCGCCAGUGUGGCCGAGCGUGACUGUGGCUCAAGCUGGCUCCAUGCCAGGGGACAACAGGAAGCAACUGAUGCGUCUUUGGAGACACUGACAGCACAGAUGCUGAAUCUGGAAAGGUAGAGACUGGAAAGGGCUGCUGUGCUCCCAGGGAAUGACAUUUUCAGCAGACAGGCAGGGAGAGUGACUGAGAAUAAGUGCCCCUCCCACUCCCCCUGCACCCAUGGGUCUCACAGGGAAGGUGUUUCCUGGGUUCUAGAAUAUUCUCACUGGGGACAGCCUCCUAUCAGCCACAGUGCUCAAGGUCUUGUGGAGAUGGAGGGCAGCUGAUACAGGCUGAUUGGAUGAUGGAGGGCAGCUGAUCCAGGCUGAUUGGAUGACCUGUCCAGAGGGGCCUCCAGGGAAGGCCCCAAUGUGGCAAAUUAGAGUGCCUCCAGCCAGGAGGCACAAAAGACACAAAGGCGGAUGAAACGCUGCAUUUCAUCCCAGCACCUGUGUGCUGGGCUCCGCCAGCCAUUCUUAAAUAUCACACGUCUAAUUCAGCACAGCCAGACCAUUUCAGAUGGCCAUCAAAAGCAAAAGAGUACAGAUGGAUGCAAGAUAAAGGCUUGUUACAUACCACACACGAUUGGGUUUCAUUUUCGCGAUACUGGAAAGCAUUUAAAAUGUAAUUGCUUGCAUACAAAAAAAGAAAGCCUGCAUUUUUGCUUGUGGAUGACAAAGAUGUCCUUCUGUCGUGUGUUUGUGUGUAUUUGUACAAUAGUUGAUUUUGCUCAUGUUUCUAUUUUUAUGUUGGUUAAUUACACCCAAUAGAAUUUGUGUGGGUUUGUAUGUAUAUGUGUAUGCUGAGGGUGGAAUGGUGGGUGGAUAUAUGUUUCUCUGUGUAUGUGCAUGUGUACAGGGCAAUGAAGCAUGCAGGUAUGUGCGUAUAACCAAGUUCCAAUCCAUGUACAAUUCACAUUCUAUUGCAGCUGCAACCUUUUUGCACACGGUACAUUUUGAUGAAGCUUGUGCCCGCUAAGUGGAAAACAGAUAUCCAUACUUUGCAAGUCACCGUAAUCCUAUAAAUGGCAGUUACACAACACAGGAACCUGUGUAAUCUCCUUUAACACCUACUAUUAAUGUUCCUCCUCCAGCUCCGCUCACCAUAAUCCAUGUUAUUUGGACCUAUUUAAAAUGACCCCUUGUACCUUCAGACUCUAGCACUCUGCCAAAACUCCCAUCAGGAAGGAAGUGAACAUGCAAAAGGGGAAUUUAAAUGAGUAUUACUGGGAAGCCUGGAUAUCCCCACACUAGGACAUCAACUGCAUUAACAUCCAACGUAUUUGCUCAAAGUGACAUCAUAACUGCCCUUGCUGGCACGUCGACCACACAGCACACCCAACAGUCAUGUGUUGUUGUUUUGUUUAUGUUUUGCAUAGUAGAACACAAAAGAACACAAAGAAUCCACAGUGAAGGCACUAUCUAUCAAUUUUAGUCUACGUGUAGGACCGUGAUCAUUAAUUUAUGGUUGUUUAUCUGCUAUCAUUAAAUUAUAAUUAACGUUCUUUCACAGUAUGUUUGAUUGUGAUGACAAACAUGGUUAAUGUUUACAUGUCUUCUGGAAGUAACUUCAGGAAACCAUUUUUAGUGUUUAUGGUGGACUUUGUAUUUAUUGAAAUAUUUAACGUAUGUAAUGCAACUUUUUAAACAUGUUU
Long non-coding RNA from Anguilla anguilla (European eel), 1983 nucleotides. RefSeq lists it as uncharacterized. The record is from RefSeq and is a predicted model, not a curated record. The transcript has 7 exons. NCBI's taxonomy places the organism in Eukaryota, Metazoa, Chordata, Actinopteri, Anguilliformes, Anguillidae.